GAUGAAGAACGUAGCGAAAUGCGAUACGUAGUGUGAAUUGCAGAAUUCAGUGAAUCAUCGAAUCUUUGAACGCACAUUGCACCUCUCGGUAUUCCGGGAGGUAUGCCUGUUCGAGCGUCAUUUGUACCCUCAAACUCUGCUUGGUGUUGGGUGUUUGUUCCGCCUCUGUGUGUGAACUCGCCUCAAAACAAUUGGCAGCCGGCGUACUUGUUUCGGAGCGCAGCACAUUUUGCGAUCCAGAUCAACGUACAGCGGCAUCCAAGAAGCCUUAUUUAACGCUCUUGACCUCGGAUCAGGUAGGGAUACCCGCUGAACUUAAGCAUAUCAAUAAGCGGAGGA
RNAcentral lists this unclassified non-coding RNA (339 nucleotides) under soil metagenome. Its description in RNAcentral is "partial contains 5.8S ribosomal RNA, internal transcribed spacer 2, and large subunit ribosomal RNA". The stretch from base 1 to 120 matches the Rfam family "5.8S ribosomal RNA", at positions 35 to 154 of the family's 154-position model. The record is from RNAcentral.